ACACUUCGUCAAAGGUCCGAGGUGCCCCGGAUGGAAGCGUGGAUUCUGACAAAGCGCUAGGUCGCGCUCCUCGUUGUCUAGCAACUAGAACUGGCCUCUGCCGCCAUUGGCCGAGACUUGUGGGCGGAGUUUAUAUCGUAGUUGUUAGCGUGUGGCGCAUCCUCAGAGGCCGACCCAGGAAGAGGAGAUGUAGCGUGUUGAAGGCCCUGGAGCUCGGCUCUGUGAAGGGAAGGCGAGGUCAAGUCGAGGGCGGAGCCUGAUCUAUGACUGACAUCUAAGUGACCGAGGUUCUGGAGGCGGAACUGGCUAGUCACUUCCCAGUGGAGACCGGGGGCGGGGCCUUGUCUGGAGGCGGGGCCUGAGCCCGGGGGUGGGAGUGAGUGAAGUUACGGCCCGAGCGCGCGCCGUUGGUUGGGCAUGUGGAGAGGCGGGUACUGAUGACGCCGUUGGUUGGUGCGCGGCUGGAGGGCGUGGCCCUGGCGGCGCCGUUGGUUGGUGGGCAGCGGCGGGCCAUGGCCCUGCUGUUGUGCCUGGGGAUGGCCACAGCGCUGGCCCAAGGCUGCCUGCACUGCAACGGCAACUUCUCGGAGAAGUUCUCCUUCUACCGCCACCACGUGAACCUCAAGUCUUGGUGGGUGGGUGACAUCCCUGUGUCUGGGGCGCUGCUCACCGAGUGGAGUCAGGACACGAUGAAGGAACUACACUUGGCCAUCCCAGCGGAGAUCACCCGGGAGAAGCUGGACCAAGUAGCCCAAGCCGUGUACCUGAGGAUGGACCAGCUGUACCAGGGGAAAAUGUACUUCCCAGGGUAUUUUCCCAAUGAGCUGCGAGCCAUUUUCCGGGACCAAGUGCACCUCAUCCAGAAUGCCAUCAUCGAAAGCCGCAUCGAUUGUCAGCGUCAUUGUGGCAUCUUCCAAUAUCAGACCAUCUCCUGCACCAAUUGCACAGACUCACAUGUCGUCUGCUUUGGCUACAACUGCGAGUCAUCAGCACAGUGGGAAUCAGCUGUAAAGGGUCUUCUGAGUUACUUAAAUAAUUGGCACAAGUAAGUCCCUCUCCUCGAAUGCAACAUCAGUUUUUCAGAGGCAGUGUGGCCAGAAUACCAGUGUGAGGUAAGGCUGGGCCCUCUGCAAGGGAAGAACGGGGAGGGAGGAGGGAAGAACUGAGUGCUCUGGGGUCCUCUGGGUCCAUGGGGGUGCUGGAUGGGUAGACACCAUAAGCAGGACUCUGUGCCUGGAUGUGCUGGACCUCUGCUGUACAGCCACACUCAUGUGGUCUUCCUCAUCGCCUCACCUGGGAUGUGCAGAACCACCCCAGCCUUCCUGACAUCACCAAGCUUCACUUGUCUGGAGCCCCAGCAAUUGGCCAACCUGACUUUGGAAAAUGUCUCUGAAUGUCUGACCCAG
Dipodomys ordii (Ord's kangaroo rat) is the source of this 1406-nucleotide RNA transcript. It is a transcript of the gene named IZUMO family member 4, with no coding region annotated. NCBI's taxonomy places the organism in Eukaryota, Metazoa, Chordata, Mammalia, Rodentia, Heteromyidae. The transcript has 9 exons. The record is from RefSeq and is a predicted model, not a curated record.